CACUAGUCUGUCUUCAGGUUGCAAAAGCUGUAAUAACAAGCUACUAAAAAUAAUACAGAGCUUGAUUUAUACCCACCAAAGCAAAGAAAUUCAGAGCUACCCUGACAGUAUUGUCCUUUGCCAUCCCCAGCCAUUUAAAAUACUGCAGUAAAAAGGAUUAUUAGGUUGUGGACUGGGAGUUUUACAGCCACGAGGGAGGCUGGGCUCAAUCCCCAGCGAAUCCUUACUGUGAACUCAUAAUUGUGCUGCAGGAGGGCACCGAGUACAUUCUGUCCUGGUCAAAUUAAAGGUGGUAAUUCAACAUUUCCCUGCCACAUCAGCAGGCCUCUUGCAGCCAGUGGUUAACUGCUGACUUCAGUCAGAAAUGUGUUGGCAGUGAGGUGACCUGGCACUCCAAAAGUCCUGCUAGACCUGUGCUCACAGAAAAAUCUCCAGUUUGCUCUCUGCAGCUUCUGUCCUGCAGUUCUCCAACACAUAAACCAAGGCAUUUUGGAGCUUUUAGGAAUCAGUGA
This 512-nucleotide long non-coding RNA is filed under the name Cyanistes caeruleus (blue tit). RNAcentral describes it as "lncRNA (ENSCCEG00000004481.1)". Lineage: Eukaryota; Metazoa; Chordata; Aves; Passeriformes; Paridae. The record is from RNAcentral.